GAGCGGAAGCAGACAGAAGAGAGCCAUUAUAUUUUAUGGUGUGUAAAAAGUAAGAAUCACUGAUGAUAUACUUUCUAGUUUGGAAACUAGCUAGCUCAUUUAUUCAGGUUAGUUCCUAAAUGAAAAUUGAAUAUUUCCUGUGACUCAAAUUAAAAUGUAUAUCAAGUUCAUUGGGACACUUAAGCUUCUGUUUUCAUUCCAAACUGUAUCUGGCUUUUUGACUGUUUGAUUAUUUUAACACUGGAAAUUAUCUCACGGGAAGAAAUGACUGCAAGUCACG
Pelobates cultripes (western spadefoot toad) is the source of this 280-nucleotide non-coding RNA. The record is from the annotation of a GenBank genome assembly. NCBI's taxonomy places the organism in Eukaryota, Metazoa, Chordata, Amphibia, Anura, Pelobatidae.